Long non-coding RNA from Oncorhynchus keta (chum salmon), 645 nucleotides. RefSeq lists it as uncharacterized. NCBI's taxonomy places the organism in Eukaryota, Metazoa, Chordata, Actinopteri, Salmoniformes, Salmonidae. The transcript has 4 exons. The record is from RefSeq and is a predicted model, not a curated record.
GUUCAUCUUCAGUUUUCAGAAAGCGAGGAAGAGAAGGUAUUUGUGCAUCAUUUCUCAUCUGAGCAGGAUACAAUCCGCAGGUCCUAGCUGACAACGUCUCGGAUAAAGGACCAUUUAUUCUCAGGGACAUGGCAGAUAUGGAGCCUCUCAUCAUUCUCCUUCUGCUAGCAGGACUAGCAGGGAAGCCAUCAGCGACAGACACAACAGCAAUGGCUACUCCCACAACAACCACAACUGCUCCAACAACAACCACAGCUGCUCCCACAACAACCACAGGUACUCCCACAACAAACACAGCGGAGCCCACAACAAUCACAGCUACUCCCACAACAACCACAAAUGCUCCAACAACAACCACAGAAUCUACCACAACAACCACAGUCGCUACUUCAAAAACCAUAGAAUCUCCCACAGCAACCACAGCUGCUCUCACAACAACCACAGCUGCUCCCACAACAAUAACAGCUGAUCCCACAACAACCACAGCUACUCCCACAACAACGACAGCUGCUCCCACAACAACCACAGCUGCUCCCACAACAACCACAGCUGCUCCCACAACAAUUACAGCUGAUCCCACAACAAGCACAGCUACUCCCACAACAAACACAGCGGAUCCCACAACAACCACAGCUGCCCCCAGAA